AGGGGGCAGCCGGGGGGGCUGGCCCCCCACCCGGGGCCGUGGGUGGCGAUAACGGCUGGGGACAUCCUGCCUGGCCCCAUAGGAUUUUCACCCUGAGAAGGGCUGUGGGGCUGGGGGGGUCGCCUUGUCCCUGCGGGGGCUGGUUCCCCCUUCCCACCGCGAUGCCCCCUGUGGUGCCCGUGGCCGGGGGUGCGUGGGGGUGGUUUCUCUGCGGCCCCCCCUCCUCACCCCGGUCUCGCUCCCCCCAUUGUCUCGGGGCUGCUCGACCUUUCCGCUGGCGCGAGGGGCCUUUGUCUGCAGCUGGGGACUCCCACUGCCUCUGCGGGGGGGUGUCCUGCCUUCGGAGCCCCCCCGAGCAGCCAGGGACUGUGUCCCCCAGCGUCCGGUGCCAUCCCCUUAGCGCAGGGUCGUCCCCCCCCAAAUCUGGGGGGCUGUGCUGCCCCGAGCAGGGUGUCUUUGGGCACUCUCCCCCCGCCUCACCCCGCACCCCCCUCCCAGUAUUCCCAGUAUUCCCAGUCCUGCUCUGGGGGGGUACAGCUCUGGCUGGACGUGCGGCCGCGGUGCUGCCAGGCUGGGGCACCUCCAGGCUCUGGUCACGGUGACCGUGACCCGGCGGGCGCGUGGGCGGCGGGUGCUGGCGGGGAUCCCUGGCAGGGUGCCCCGCUCCCUACGUCACGCCGAGGUGCCGUGUCUCCCCGGGCCCAGGUUUGCCAGCCCAUGGCACGCCGGUACCGGUGUCGGGGGGAGGGGGGGGAAGGGGGGGGUGCCGUGCCUCAGUUUCCCCAGAGACGGCCUGGCGGCUGGGCUGUGCCCGCUGGGGCUGGCCCCGAGGUGCUGGCUGCUGGCCCGGCGCCGGCACUGCCCUGCCCGGCGGGACGCCGUCUCGUUGGCGCGGGGGCAAGAACCGCUCUUCGGGGGGGCGCAGGAGGCUGCCCGCCGCUGCAGCAGGGCCUGGGGACGCUGCUGGGGAAACUGAGGCACAAGGUGGUCUCUCAUGGUGGCGGAGGGUCUCGUAGGAGCCCACCGAAGCAGUGGGCACCCUGUGCCCAUGUGGGUCUGCAUCCUGUGGGGGUUUUGUGGGGUGCUGUGGGGGUCUCGGGGGGUAAGUUGGGUUGGGGUGUGCACGGUCACUGCCCCACCGGACACGGGGUGGCCCCGGUGUCGCCUCACGCGAGCCGUGCUCGGGCACCCCGUGCUGGCCGGUGGCACGCAGCCAGCGCAGCGCUGCGGCACGGCGCGGUGGCACGGCAGAUGGGCACAUCGGGGUGAGGGGGGGGAUCCCUGGGCCCUGGUGCUGGCUGGGGGGGGGGGGGGACCCCGGGGCUGGCUGGGGGGGGGGCCCAGGGGGGGCCGGGGGGGGGGG
Molecule: long non-coding RNA, 1363 nt
Filed under: Calidris pugnax (ruff)
Lineage: Eukaryota; Metazoa; Chordata; Aves; Charadriiformes; Scolopacidae
Description: lncRNA (ENSCPUG00000000565.1)
Source: RNAcentral